GAUACAGCGGUUCUCGUACGAUCACUGAAGUUAAGCAACGUCGAACCUGGUCAGUACAUAGAUGUGUGACCUUGUGGAAAGUCUAGGGUUUGU
Non-coding RNA from Acanthosepion pharaonis, 93 nucleotides. The record is from the annotation of a GenBank genome assembly. Lineage: Eukaryota; Metazoa; Mollusca; Cephalopoda; Sepiida; Sepiidae.